GCAUUGGUGGUUCAGUGGUAGAAUUCUUGCCUCUCGUGCAAGAGACCCGGGUUCAGUUCCCAGCCAGUGCA
Transfer RNA from Loxodonta africana (African savanna elephant), 71 nucleotides. It matches the Rfam family "tRNA". Rfam says of the family: Transfer RNA (tRNA) molecules are approximately 80 nucleotides in length. The record is from Rfam. NCBI's taxonomy places the organism in Eukaryota, Metazoa, Chordata, Mammalia, Proboscidea, Elephantidae.